RNAcentral lists this small RNA (459 nucleotides) under Pongo abelii (Sumatran orangutan). RNAcentral's name for it is "retained intron". The record is from RNAcentral. Lineage: Eukaryota; Metazoa; Chordata; Mammalia; Primates; Hominidae.
ACGGCUCUCUAGUGCUGGGUGUGGAGUGAGGCACCACCCUCGCCCUGAAGCCUGGGGCACUCAGUCACCAUGGCUCAUGCCCCAGAACCAGACCCGGCUGCCAGCGACCUCGGGGAUGAGAGGCCCAAGUGGGACAACAAGGCCCAGUACCUCCUGAGCUGCAUCGGGUUUGCCGUGGGGCUGGGGAACAUUUGGCGGUUCCCAUACCUGUGCCAGACCUAUGGAGGAGGGGCCUUCCUCAUUCCCUACGUCAUCGCACUGGUCUUCGAGGGGAUCCCCAUCUUCCACGUCGAGCUCGCCAUCGGCCAGCGGCUGCGGAAGGGCAGCGUCGGCGUGUGGACGGCCAUCUCCCCGUACCUCAGUGGAGUAGGGCUGGGCUGUGUCACGCUGUCCUUCCUGAUCAGCCUGUACUACAACACCAUUGUGGCGUGGGUGCUGUGGUACCUCCUCAACUCCUUC